This 253-nucleotide ribosomal RNA is filed under the name uncultured bacterium. RNAcentral describes it as "partial 16S ribosomal RNA". It matches the Rfam family "Bacterial small subunit ribosomal RNA", at positions 524 to 776 of the family's 1533-position model. The record is from RNAcentral.
UACGAAGGGGGCUAGCGUUGUUCGGAAUUACUGGGCGUAAAGCGCACGUAGGCGGACCUUUAAGUCAGGGGUGAAAUCCCAGAGCUCAACUCUGGAACUGCCUUUGAUACUGGGUGUCUUGAGUAUGGAAGAGGUGAGUGGAAUUCCGAGUGUAGAGGUGAAAUUCGUAGAUAUUCGGAGGAACACCAGUGGCGAAGGCGGCUCACUGGUCCAUUACUGACGCUGAGGUGCGAAAGCGUGGGGAGCAAACAGG